GUCCUGGCCUUUUUAUUAGUUAUUAGUGAACUUACACAUGCAAGAAUCCUCGUCCCUGUGAAAAUGCCCUUUAACCAUUAUUUGGUCAUAGGAGCUGGUAUCAAGCACACUCUGAAGUAGCUCAUAACACCUUGCUCAGCCACACCCCCACGGGAAACAGCAGUGAUAAAAAUUAAGCAAUAAACGAAAAUUUGACUAAGUUACACUAGUAUUAGGGCUGGUAAAUUUCGUGCCAGCCACCGCGGUCAUACGAUUAGCCCAAACUAAUAAACAAUCGGCGUAAAGUGUGUUUUAGAGUAUAAUUAAAAAUAAAGCCAAAUUUUAACCAAGCUGUAAAAAGCCUUGGUCACUGUAAGAUGCACAACAAAAGUAGCUUUAAAACUUCUGACUACACGAUAGCUAAGACCCAAACUGGGAUUAGAUACCCCACUAUGCUUAGCCCUAAACAUAGAAAAUUAUAAACAAAAUUAUUCGCCAGAGUACUACCAGCAAAAGCUAGAAACUCAAAGGACUUGGCGGUGCCUUAUAUCCUUCUAGAGGAGCCUGUUCCAUAAUCGAUAAACCCCGAUAAACCCGACCAACCUUUGCUAAGUCAGCCUAUAUACCGCCAUCUUCAGCAAACCCUAAAAAGGAAGCACAGUAAGCACAAAUAUUAACAUAAAUACGUUAGGUCAAGGUGUAGCCUAUGGGUUGGAGAAAAAUGGGCUACAUUUCCCUAGCCAAGGACAUAUUACGAAAAUUUAUGUGAAACCAUUAAUCAAAGGUGGAUUUAGUAGUAAAUUAAGAAUAGAGCGCUUAAUUGAAUAAGGCCAUGAGGCACGCACACACCGCCCGUCACCCUCCUCAAGCAAUAAAUAUAAAACAAUUCCUAAGCACUAUAUAUAAUUUGCAAGAAGAGAUAAGUCGUAACAAGGUAAGUGUACUGGAAAGUGCACUUGGAUAAUA
RNAcentral lists this non-coding RNA (945 nucleotides) under Neoromicia somalicus (Somali serotine). RNAcentral describes it as "partial 12S ribosomal RNA". It matches the Rfam family "Bacterial small subunit ribosomal RNA". Lineage: Eukaryota; Metazoa; Chordata; Mammalia; Chiroptera; Vespertilionidae. The record is from RNAcentral.